UGGGGAAUAUUGCACAAUGGACGGAAGUCUGAUGCAGCAACGCCGCGUGCGGGAUGACGGCCUUCGGGUUGUAAACCGCUUUUUCUCAUGACGAAGUUUUUUGACGGUAGUGGGGGAAGAAGCACCGGCUAACUACGUGCCAGCAGCCGCGGUGAUACGUAGGGUGCGAGCGUUGUCCGGAAUUAUUGGGCGUAAAGAGCUUGUAGGCGGUUUGUCGCGUCGAUAGUGCAAACUCAGUGCUUAACGCUGAGCCUGCUGUUGAUACGGGCAGACUAGAGGAAGGUAGGGGAGAAUGGAAAUCCCGGUGGAGCGGUGGAAUGCGCAGAUAUCGAGGGGAAAACCGGUGGCGAAGGCGGUUCUCUGGGCCUUUCCUGACGCUGAGAAGCGAAAGCGUGGGGAGCGAACAGG
This 408-nucleotide ribosomal RNA is filed under the name Fusobacteriota bacterium. RNAcentral's name for it is "Fusobacteria bacterium partial 16S ribosomal RNA". It matches the Rfam family "Bacterial small subunit ribosomal RNA", at positions 355 to 776 of the family's 1533-position model. The record is from RNAcentral. Lineage: Bacteria; Fusobacteriati; Fusobacteriota.